RNAcentral lists this transfer RNA (74 nucleotides) under Gemmatimonadota bacterium. RNAcentral describes it as "Gemmatimonadetes bacterium tRNA-Ile". It matches the Rfam family "tRNA". From Rfam's summary of the family: Transfer RNA (tRNA) molecules are approximately 80 nucleotides in length. Their secondary structure includes four short double-helical elements and three loops (D, anti-codon, and T loops). RNAcentral also lists the same sequence under 2 other names. The record is from RNAcentral. Lineage: Bacteria; Pseudomonadati; Gemmatimonadota.
GGGCCCUUAGCUCAGCCGGUUAGAGCACCGGACUCAUAAUCCGAGGGACGGAGGUUCAAAUCCUCCAGGGCCCA